UCGCGGUAAUACGUAGGGUGCAAGCGUUGUCCGGAAUUAUUGGGCGUAAAGAGCUCGUAGGCGGCUUGUCGCGUCUGCUGUGAAAUCCCGGGGCUCAACCCCGGGCCUGCAGUGGGUACGGGCAAGCUAGAGUGCGGUAGGGGAGAUUGGAAUUCCUGGUGUAGCGGUGGAAUGCGCAGAUAUCAGGAGGAACACCGAUGGCGAAGGCAGAUCUCUGGGCCGCUACUGACGCUGAGGAGCGAAAGCAUGGGGAGCGAACAGGAUUAGAUACCCUGGUAGUCCAUGCCGUAAACGUUGGGAACUAGAUGUAGGGCCUGUUCCACGGGUUCUGUGUCGUAGCUAACGCAUAA
Molecule: ribosomal RNA, 350 nt
Filed under: Leucobacter aridicollis
Lineage: Bacteria; Bacillati; Actinomycetota; Actinomycetes; Micrococcales; Microbacteriaceae
Description: bacterial SSU rRNA
Rfam family: Bacterial small subunit ribosomal RNA
Source: RNAcentral